CUUACGCCUGAACCAGCCAAGUCGCGUGAGGGAAGACUGCCCUAUGGGUUGUAAACCUCUUUUGUCAGGGAGCAACAACAUCUACGAGUAGGUGUUACGAGAGUACCUGAAGAAAAAGCAUCGGCUAACUCCGUGCC
This 137-nucleotide ribosomal RNA is filed under the name uncultured bacterium. RNAcentral describes it as "partial 16S ribosomal RNA". It matches the Rfam family "Bacterial small subunit ribosomal RNA", at positions 376 to 509 of the family's 1533-position model. The record is from RNAcentral.